RNAcentral lists this ribosomal RNA (497 nucleotides) under uncultured bacterium. RNAcentral describes it as "partial 16S ribosomal RNA". It matches the Rfam family "Bacterial small subunit ribosomal RNA", at positions 28 to 507 of the family's 1533-position model. The record is from RNAcentral.
GAUGAACGCUGGCGGCGUGCCUAAUACAUGCAAGUCGAGCGAACAGACGAGGAGCUUGCUCCUUCGACGUUAGCGGCGGACGGGUGAGUAACACGUAGGUAACCUACCUAUAAGACUGGGAUAACUUCGGGAAACCGGAGCUAAUACCGGAUAAUAUUUCGAACCGCAUGGUUCGAUAGUGAAAGAUGGCUUUGCUAUCACUUAUAGAUGGACCUGCGCCGUAUUAGCUAGUUGGUAAGGUAACGGCUUACCAAGGCAACGAUACGUAGCCGACCUGAGAGGGUGAUCGGCCACACUGAGCCUGAGACACGGUCCAGACUCCGACGGGAGGCAGCAGUAGGGAAGCUUGCGCAAUGGGCGAAAGCCUGACGGAGCAACGCCGCGUGAGUGAUGAAGGUCUUCGGGUCGUAAAACUCUGUUAUUAGGGAAGACCAAACGUGUAAGUAACUGUGCACGUCUUGACGGUACCUAAUCAGAAAGCCACGGCUAACUACGUG